AACGUAGGAUGCAAGCGUUAUCCGGAUUUACUGGGCGUAAAGCGCGUGUAGGCGGUUUGGUAAGUUGGAUGUGAAAGCUCCUGGCUUAACUGGGAGAGGUCGUUCAAUACUGCCAAGCUUGAGGAUGGUAGAGGGAGGUGGAAUUCCGAGUGUAGUGGUGAAAUGCGUAGAUAUUCGGAGGAACACCAGUGGCGAAAGCGGCCUCCUGGACCAUUUCUGACGCUCAGACGCGAAAGCUAGGGUAGCAAACGGG
Molecule: ribosomal RNA, 253 nt
Filed under: uncultured bacterium
Lineage: Bacteria
Description: partial 16S ribosomal RNA
Rfam family: Bacterial small subunit ribosomal RNA
Source: RNAcentral